GUGCUUACUUCGGCAGCACAUAUGCUAAAAUUGGAAGGAUACAGAGAAAAUUAGCAUGGGCUGAACUGAACUGAACUGGGCAAGGAUGACAUACACAUUUGUGAAGUCCUCCGUAUUUUU
Molecule: small nuclear RNA, 120 nt
Filed under: Moschus moschiferus (Siberian musk deer)
Lineage: Eukaryota; Metazoa; Chordata; Mammalia; Artiodactyla; Moschidae
Source: RNAcentral